AUUGAACGCUGGCGGCAGGCCUAACACAUGCAAGUCGAGCGGAUGAAGGGAGCUUGUGCCUGGAUUCAGCUGCGGACGGGUGAGUAAUGCCUAGGAAUCUGCCUGGUAUUGGGGGAUAACGUCCGGAAACGGGCGCUAAUACCGCAUACGAUCUGAGGUUGAACGUGGGGGAUCUUCGGACCACACGCUAUCAGAUGAGACUAGUCCGGAUUAGCUAGUUGGUGUGGUAAAGGCCUACCAAGGCGACUAUCCGUAACUGAGCUGAGAGGAUGAUCAGUCACACUGGAACUGAGACACGGUCCAGACUCCUACGGGAGGCAGCAGUGGGGAAUAUUGGGCAAUGGGCGAAAGCCUGAUCGAGCCAUGCCGCGUGUGUGAUGAAGGUCUUCGGAUUGUAAAGCACUUUUAGUUGGGAGGAAGAGAAGUAUAUUAAUACCUUGCUGUUUUGACGGUACCAACACAGUAAGCACCGGCUAACUUCGUG
RNAcentral lists this ribosomal RNA (484 nucleotides) under uncultured bacterium. RNAcentral describes it as "partial 16S ribosomal RNA". It matches the Rfam family "Bacterial small subunit ribosomal RNA", at positions 30 to 507 of the family's 1533-position model. The record is from RNAcentral.